Molecule: ribosomal RNA, 207 nt
Filed under: uncultured bacterium
Lineage: Bacteria
Description: partial 16S ribosomal RNA
Rfam family: Bacterial small subunit ribosomal RNA
Source: RNAcentral
AGCGCAGGCGGGAAGACAAGUUGGAAGUGAAAACUAUGGGCUCAACCCAUAAAUUGCUUUCAAAACUGCUGGCCUUGAGUAGUGCAGAGGUAGGUGGAAUUCCCGGUGUAGCGGUGGAAUGCGUAGAUAUCGGGAGGAACACCAGUGGCGAAGGCGACCUACUGGGCACCAACUGACGCUGAGGCUCGAAAGCAUGGGUAGCAAACA